GAUGAAGAACGUAGCGAAAUGCGAUACUUGGUGUGAAUUGCUGAAUCCCGUGAACCAUCGAGUCUUUGAACGCAAGUUGCGCCCGAAGCCAUUAGGCCGAGGGCACGCCUGCCUGGGCGUCACACGUCGUUGCCCCCCCAUCUACUCCUUCGGGAUUGCGGGGGGCGGAUGAUGGCCUCCCGUGCGCCUCGUCGCGCGGUUGGCAUAAAUGCCAAGUCCUCGGCGACGCACGCCACGACAAUCGGUGGUUGCGAAACCUCGGUUGCCCGUCGUGUGCGGUCGUCGCGCAUCGAGGGCUCGAAAAAAUUGCCGGGCUCCGGCUCGGCUUUCAACGCGACCCCAGGUCAGGCGGGGUUACCCGCUGAAUUUAAGCAUAUCAAAAGCGGAGGA
Molecule: unclassified non-coding RNA, 390 nt
Filed under: soil metagenome
Description: partial contains 5.8S ribosomal RNA, internal transcribed spacer 2, and large subunit ribosomal RNA
Rfam family: 5.8S ribosomal RNA (bases 1-122)
Source: RNAcentral